CAAGGAUUCCCCUAGUAACGGCGAGUGAAGCGGGAAGAGCACAAAUUUAAAAUCUACCUGGUUUCCAGGUCGAGUUGUAAUUUGAAGAAACGUUUUUGACGUUCCGRGUUGGGAUAAAUCCUUUGGGAUGAGGUAUCAUGGAGGGUGAGAAUCCCGUGUAUACCAACCGCAGGGAUGUUAUUUAAUACGUUUUCUAAGAGUCGAGUUGUUUGGGAAUGCAGCUCUAAAUGGGUGGUAAAUUUCACCUAAUGCUAAAUAUAAGCGAGAGACCGAUAGCGAACAAGUACCGUGAGGGAAAGAUGAAAAGAACUUUGAAAAGAGAGUUAAAUAGUACGUGAAAUUGUUGAAAGGGAAACGAUUGAAGUCAGUCAUGCCGGCGGGAAUCAACUUAGGGGAAACUYUAAGUGCACUUCACGUUUGGCAGGUCAGCGUCGAUUUUGGAUAUCAUAAAAUGAUUGGGGGAAGGUAGCUCCUUCGGGAGUGUUAUAGCCCUUGAUAGAUGUGAUGUCUGGGAUCGAGGAUUGCAACGGAUAYCCUUUGGGCUAGCCGCCUGAUCUCUAACUGGUGUURRGUUACGGACAGCAUGCUGACCGUGAUUUAAUUACUGGUUAAAAGGUUAGAGCGAGUGUAAAUUCGUUAAGGACGCUGACGU
RNAcentral lists this ribosomal RNA (652 nucleotides) under Dentiscutata heterogama. RNAcentral describes it as "eukaryotic LSU rRNA". It matches the Rfam family "Eukaryotic large subunit ribosomal RNA", at positions 69 to 632 of the family's 3401-position model. The record is from RNAcentral. Lineage: Eukaryota; Fungi; Glomeromycota; Glomeromycetes; Diversisporales; Gigasporaceae.